Molecule: ribosomal RNA, 325 nt
Filed under: uncultured bacterium
Lineage: Bacteria
Description: bacterial SSU rRNA
Rfam family: Bacterial small subunit ribosomal RNA
Source: RNAcentral
AAAAAGCAGGGGAUCUUCGGACCUUGCGCUAUUGGAUGAGCCUAUGUCGGAUUAGUUAGUUGGUGGGGUAAAGGCCUACCAAGGCGACGAUCCGUAGCUGGUCUUAGAGGACGAUCAGCCACAUCGGGACUGAGACACGGCCCGAACUCCUACGGGAGGCAGCAGUGGGGAAUAUUGCACAAUGGGCGCAAGCCUGAUGCAGCUAUGCCGCGUGUGUGAAGAAGGCCUUAGGGUUGUAAAGCACUUUCAGUAGUGAGGAAAAGUGUUGCGUUAAUAGCGCAAUGCUGUGACGUUAGCUACAGAAGAAGGACCGGCAAACUCCGUG